UACGUAGGGUGCGAGCGUUGUCCGGAAUUAUUGGGCGUAAAGGGCUCGUAGGCGGUCUGUCGCGUCGGUAGUGAAAACUCAGGGCUUAACCCUGAGCCUGCUUCCGAUACGGGCAGACUAGAGGUAUGCAGGGGAGAAUGGAAUUCCUGGUGUAGCGGUGAAAUGCGCAGAUAUCAGGAGGAACACCAGUGGCGAAGGCGGUUCUCUGGGCAUUACCUGACGCUGAGGAGCGAAAGUGUGGGAGGCGAACAGG
RNAcentral lists this ribosomal RNA (253 nucleotides) under uncultured bacterium. Its description in RNAcentral is "partial 16S ribosomal RNA". It matches the Rfam family "Bacterial small subunit ribosomal RNA", at positions 524 to 776 of the family's 1533-position model. The record is from RNAcentral.